RNAcentral lists this long non-coding RNA (2324 nucleotides) under Cyanistes caeruleus (blue tit). Its description in RNAcentral is "lncRNA (ENSCCEG00000016067.1)". The record is from RNAcentral. Lineage: Eukaryota; Metazoa; Chordata; Aves; Passeriformes; Paridae.
AGAGAACCUGCCAGACUCAGGCCUUUUCUGAAAAAAGCCUCUCCUUCGAGAUUUUGGAGGAUGGUGGAAUUUUUAUGACAAGCUGUAUGGGACAAGUACAUUCACCAUGGGAUUGAAAAGAAGGAAGGCCCAUAUUGAGUGCCUGUUGUGGUUGGUGAUAUGAAUGUCUACACAAAACCACUUCUGUUACAUGGACCAAGAAUGUCACAAACCAAGCAUGUGCAGGUGAGGACAUGGCACUCAGGAUUUUGCAAUAUCCAUGAAGAUUUUUGUGUAUUGCAGUGGUUAACAUUACAUUGUCAAGUGUGUAUCUGUUCCAGCUACUUACUUCAUUUGUGUUGUCAUUUCACAGCAUUGGAGUCCAAGUUCCCCCCAACAUAGAUGAGAAAAUUCAGACUCUUAGAAAUGUGUCUCAAAAAGUCAAGGACUUUUACAUCAUCUCACUUUUUACUUGUCCUACCCUCUCACUCCAUAAGAAGAACAGUAUGUGACUAGAAAUAACUUCAACAUGCUUGUUCGUACUUGUACUGAGCUUCAAAAUAUUCCAACAGAGGAUGCUUACAUGCAAGGUCUGGCAGCACUGAAGCCUUCCACUGACACUGACCUAAGCUUGAGAAUAGAUUUGACAAUGAAAACAGUGAACUGAUGUGAACUGACUUCAGUGAAUACCCUGCCAUUUACAUAUAGAGUUGAAGAAUGUUUAAUGGAUUCAAGAAAUUGCUGAGAAUUUGUGGAUAACUGUAAACUGAAAUUCUGUAGUACACUUCUUAUGCUAGUAUAAAUUCUUGGAAAAUCCAUGAUGAGUAGACAUGUACCAGUUCAUCUUUUGUCAGUAUGAUGAAAAAUAUUUAAAUUAUAUUAAAUCCAGCAUUUCUGUGAGACAGCCAAUCACACAGCAUGCAAAAGCAAUUGACAGGUUAAUUAUGCAAGGUUUGAGUAUUUGAAUCACAUUUUCUUCUGCCAAGUUUAAACUAUUUUCUCUCUAGGUAAUUAUGUUGGCACCUGGCAGGUUUAGGAAAAAAGAAUAACAAAGAAAAUAUCAAAGAAACGUUUCCUAGAGAAACAAAUAAUUUAAAGUGUCAUGCUUUGUCUCGCAUGUAAAGUAUGCCAUUUGAGCUUAAUGUAUCCUGAACUUUUCACCUGCUAAUGUGAUUAACAGAAAAUAUUAACAGAGACUUCAUUCAAAUGGAAAUGGAACAAGAGAAAAGAUGCAACAGAGGUGUGGGGAAUAGCCUCACAGUUAGAUGCACACAGGAAAUUGUAUGAUAUUUUCCUUAUGAAAUACUACUUGAGUUAUAUAGCUGCCUGUCUUCUGAAAUACGUGCAGCAAACAGUACCAAGAUGACCAUGACCUCAUUCCAGAGAGGUGAGGAAGUAUCAUUUCUAUUUUAUGGCUAGAAAAACUGAAAAAAAGUGUAAUUGGAAUAUGUUUUGCCCAAGGUUAUAGCAGAAGUGCAUGUAAAAGGUGGAUACGGAAAGCAGAUCUCUUCUCAGUCCUAUUUAUUAUCCAGAAAUCUCACUUUAUUCUUUUUUAGAAGUAUUCCUGUAAUCUUCUACUGACAAAUAUAAAAAGUACUAUUAUCAGAGCAAAGAAAAUACACAUAUGCAUUUUCUCUAUACUGAACUGUUAUUUUCUUCUGGUCUUGGCAAUAUUGCCUCAGUAAUAUUAGAAACGUGCCCUUAGUCAUCCUGUUAUCUUUUCAAAUAUUUUCCAAUUAUUUUUAUCAAUUCAGUCAAUAUACUCAUGGUUGGCACAUAAGGGGGUCUUUUUGUCUGUAUCAUCAAGAGGUACCAAAGCAAAACACAUACCUGCAAGGGGCAAGGCCUAUGGCUCCACAAGUUUAUCUGCAAAAGUUUCACCAGUCAUCCAUUUUUCCCAACGAAAAUAUUGUGAAACAGGGCUUCAGUGCCGCUUGGGUCUGGAUCCUAGUUAGAUUGACACCGACAAUUAAUGUUUUAUGAGGCCAUUCCCAAGGCCACAGAAAGCUGUGUAAGGUGAAAAUAAGGCAUGGUGUUAAUUAUGGCUGUAAGAUAUGGAUCAAACAGUGCAGUCAGCACAGCUCUUUUCUGCUCAAAUGUUCCAGAUUCUGAAGUCUUAGUGACAGUCUGGAUGUUAUUUUUUCUAUUAGUGUAAUCAGAGCUAUCUUUUCUUUGGGGUUUCAGGUUUAUCCUGCAUUUUUCCAAGAAGAAAAUUUAAAGUUGAUAAUUGCAUUAACUUUAUAGAUUGCAUGACUGACAAGUAUAAAUACAUGUGUUCUGCACUUACAACAUUUUAUAGAGUGGAGGGUAAUAAAAACAAGAAUGAAUUAGAGAAUUUGUGAGUA